RNAcentral lists this long non-coding RNA (1239 nucleotides) under Vigna radiata. RNAcentral describes it as "long non-coding RNA (VRAD_LNC005750)". The record is from RNAcentral. Lineage: Eukaryota; Viridiplantae; Streptophyta; Magnoliopsida; Fabales; Fabaceae.
UUUUCGUUAAAAAAAAUUAACACCUAAUUAUUUUGUACAACAGAGUCGAUAAAGUGUUAAUGUAUUUAAAUAUAGUCUUGGUAGUGUUGAAACGUGGCAAUGAAAACGUUUUAUUUGAGAAAAAUUAAAAUUUAAAAUAGAUUGUGAAAUAUGAGAUCUCCACUCUUCGUCUUCCUCGCCUGAACCUCCAUUGCCAGCAGCUCCUUCCGUCCCCGCAUGCUCCUCGACCGGUCAGGGCCGUUGCUAGCGACGCUAGUCACCACAGGAAGCUUUGCCGACGACGACAUGAUCUCCCUCCGUAUUCUUCCUCUUUAAAAACGUGUUUCUACCACCUCCCAAUACCCAGAUCGGAAACCGCCGCGAUUUCCGCCAGCUGCGUCGCGCGCAAUCUGGAGUCACCACCAAGACAAUGUCGUGGCCUUCGCACGGCUGAGCACUAUAGCCGAAGCACCGUCGCAGACCCGAAACGGGCUAUUGCGAUUCAAGGGCUGCUGCUCCUCACCUCCUUUCUUCUCAGUCUUGCCAAGCCUUCCCCUAAUUUCCAGUUUUCUUCAUACUCUCGAUGUUGAGAGUUCUUUGUUAUGUUCUAUUGGAAUUUCCCUGUGCAUGUGUGGAGUUGUAGAAGAUGAGGGAUUUAGGGUUCUUCAAUAGCUCUUAUGUUCAAAAAUAGUGACAGGAAUUUAGGGAUUUCAAUCCCAGCCUCCAGGAAACAGCAGUAAAGGAGUCCAAUGACGAUUGAAUAAAGGGUUAGCCCCUGGAUUGGAUCAGUGCAGAAGUGGGGGAUACCAUUUCUGAGGAUGGAAAUGGUGGGUAUGAGCGUCAAAGACAAGACCAUAUAGGAAAAUCACCAAGACUGCAACCAAGAAAAAAUACAAGUAGAACAUAAUCUGGGAAACCCUUCUUGCCGCUUGACCCGCCACCGAUGUUCUAUGGAAAAAGUUUGAAACUUGUGCCUGCACAUGACCAAGUUGACUUUAGUUUUUUCAAUAUAACAAAUGCAGUGCAUGAAAUUUCUUCAUUCAGAUCGACGAAACCAAACCCAUCACAGAAAAUAAUGUAAAACACAACUUAAAAGUUUCAAACUUUUUCAGUUUUUCCAAAUUAAGACACACUGAAAGAAAAAGACUUGCAAAGGAAAAGGGAAAAGAAGAGGGAAAGAAGAGAGAGCUCACACGGUUGAGACCACGUAUUCAACUUUCAAAUUUCUGAUGUCACGUUUUAAAAAAAUUACAUAUCAAC